GUUGAUCCCGCCGGACCUGACUGCUAUCGGAUUGAUACUAAGCCAUGCGAGUCAUUGUAGUAAUACAAGGCAGACGGCUCAGUAACGCGUAGUCAACCUACCCUAUGGACGGGAAUAACCUCGGGAAACUGAGUAUAAUGCCCGAUAGAACACUAUACCUGGAAUGGUUUGUGUUCCAAAUGAAUGUCGCCGUAGGAUGGGACUGCGGCCUAUCAGUUUGUUGGUGAGGUAAUGGCCCACCAAGACUAUUACAGGUACGGGCUCUGAGAGGAGUAGCCCGGAGAUGGGUACUGAGACACGGACCCAGGCCCUAUGGGGCGGAGCAGGCGAGAAAACUUUGCAAUGUGCGAAAGCACGACAAGGUUAAUCCGAGUGGUUUGUGCUAAACGAACCUUUUGACAGUCCUAGAAACACUGUUGAAUAAGGGGUGGGCAAGUUCUGGUGUCAGCCGCCGCGGUAAAACCAG
This 466-nucleotide ribosomal RNA is filed under the name uncultured archaeon. RNAcentral describes it as "bacterial SSU rRNA". It matches the Rfam family "Archaeal small subunit ribosomal RNA", at positions 7 to 479 of the family's 1478-position model. The record is from RNAcentral.